AACCGCAUAGUGCAGUGGAUUAGAUCGUCUGACUUUGUAUCAGAAGGUUGUAGGUUCGACUCCAACUGUGGUUG
Molecule: transfer RNA, 74 nt
Organism: Ipomoea nil (Japanese morning glory)
Lineage: Eukaryota; Viridiplantae; Streptophyta; Magnoliopsida; Solanales; Convolvulaceae
Rfam family: tRNA
About the family: Transfer RNA (tRNA) molecules are approximately 80 nucleotides in length. Their secondary structure includes four short double-helical elements and three loops (D, anti-codon, and T loops). Further hydrogen bonds mediate the characteristic L-shaped molecular structure. tRNAs have two regions of fundamental functional importance: the anti-codon, which is responsible for specific mRNA codon recognition, and the 3' end, to which the tRNAs corresponding amino acid is attached (by aminoacyl-tRNA synthetases). tRNAs cope with the degeneracy of the genetic code in two manners: having more than one tRNA (with a specific anti-codon) for a particular amino acid; and 'wobble' base-pairing, i.e. permitting non-standard base-pairing at the 3rd anti-codon position.
Source: Rfam